CACUUAAGAACUUUUCUGCAAAGGAGCCAGAGACUCUACACACUAAGGCACCAGGGUGCAACACUCCAGCCCUAAUAAGCCAGAACUAAGGAGAAGUAGACUCUGAGUACAGCUCAAUUGAUCUCACCAAAAACAGCGAUCUGAUCAAGUCAUCAUGCCAUAAGACCUUCAGGGUCUCCAUCCUCUGGUCACAGCAUACUCUCGAGCUCCUCUUCACCUUCUGCUCUACCAGAUACCCACAUGCCGGCAGUGGGUGAGCAGAGGGCCACACUGCCAUUCUCACUGAGAUAGCUGUUUGUUGUGGAGGACUGUCCUAUGCAUAUAUUCCACCAAAAAAAAUGUAUACACACUUCAGGAAAAGAAAAAUGGCAUGAUGUUUUUCUACAGAUAUCAUUGCCUUUGCCUGAGGACCCCUAGAGGAUGUCAUAUAUCACAGAAAGGCCACUACACUGCCAGCCCUUCGAGAAGAAAUUGAAAAUGCACGUGCAGCCAUCUCAAUGACCAAGGUUACCCAAGCAGUGG
Molecule: long non-coding RNA, 522 nt
Filed under: Heterocephalus glaber (naked mole-rat)
Lineage: Eukaryota; Metazoa; Chordata; Mammalia; Rodentia; Bathyergidae
Description: lncRNA (ENSHGLG00000037085.1)
Source: RNAcentral